Molecule: ribosomal RNA, 476 nt
Filed under: uncultured bacterium
Lineage: Bacteria
Description: SSU rRNA
Rfam family: Bacterial small subunit ribosomal RNA
Source: RNAcentral
AGAAUCAACGCUGGCGGCGUGCCUAACACAUGCAAGUCGAACGAGAAAGUGGAGCAAUCCAUGAGUAAAGUGGCGACCGGGUGAGUAACACGUGACUAACCUACCUUCAAGUGGGGGAUAACCUCGGGAAACCGGGGCUAAUACCGCAUAACAUCUUUGGAGUGGAAAUUCUGGAGAUCAAAGGAGCAAUUCGCUGGAAGAGGGGGUCGCGGCUGAUUAGCUAGUUGGCGGGGUAAUGGCCCACCAAGGCUUUGAUCGGUAGCCGGCCUGAGAGGGCGCACGGCCACACUGGAACUGAAACACGGUCCAGACUCCUACGGGAGGCAGCAGUGGGGAAUUUUGCGCAAUGGGGGAAACCCUGACGCAGCAACGCCGCGUGGAGGAUGAAGUCCCUUGGGACGUAAACUCCUUUCGACCGGGAAGAUUAUGACGGUACCGGUGGAAGAAGCCCCGGCUAACUUCGCGCCAGCAGCCGC